RNAcentral lists this ribosomal RNA (429 nucleotides) under Gemmatimonadota bacterium. RNAcentral describes it as "Gemmatimonadetes bacterium partial 16S ribosomal RNA". It matches the Rfam family "Bacterial small subunit ribosomal RNA", at positions 355 to 776 of the family's 1533-position model. Lineage: Bacteria; Pseudomonadati; Gemmatimonadota. The record is from RNAcentral.
UAGGGAAUCUUCGGCAAUGGACGAAAGUCUGACCGAGCAACGCCGCGUGAGUGAAGAAGGUUUUCGGAUCGUAAAACUCUGUUGUUAGAGAAGAACAAGGACGUUAGUAACUGAACGUCCCCUGACGGUAUCUAACCAGAAAGCCACGGCUAACUACGUGCCAGCAGCCGCGGUAAUACGUAGGUGGCAAGCGUUGUCCGGAUUUAUUGGGCGUAAAGCGAGCGCAGGCGGUUUCUUAAGUCUGAUGUGAAAGCCCCCGGCUCAACCGGGGAGGGUCAUUGGAAACUGGGGAACUUUAGUGCAGAAGAGGAGAGGGGAAUUCCAGGUGUAGCGGUGAAAUGCGUAGAUAUAUGGAGGAACACCAGAGGCGAAGGCGGCUCUCUGGUCAGUAACUGACGAUGAGGCUCGAAAGCGUGGGGAGCAAACAGG